Molecule: non-coding RNA, 72 nt
Organism: Bos taurus (domestic cattle)
Lineage: Eukaryota; Metazoa; Chordata; Mammalia; Artiodactyla; Bovidae
Source: Rfam
UCCUUGGUGGCUCAGACAGUAAAGGAUCUGCCUGCAAUGCAGGAGACCCGGGUUCAAUUCCUGGGUCAGGAA